Long non-coding RNA from Diuraphis noxia (Russian wheat aphid), 437 nucleotides. The record is from RefSeq and is a predicted model, not a curated record. NCBI's taxonomy places the organism in Eukaryota, Metazoa, Arthropoda, Insecta, Hemiptera, Aphididae.
UUAAACGGGCGUCCAGGGGUCGCGGGAAUGYCAUUCGACGUUCCACCUUCCUGUACUGAAGAUCACCUUCAUUUCUUCACAACGAACUCUUCUGUGUUAACGCGAAACUCACUUAAAUGGUUUCUAUCGUAAUUUACGACCUACCGAGUACCAAGUAUCGAAUCACUGCCACAAACAAUGGCGUUUCAAGACAAUUCAACCAAGACCGCCACAGCCGUCAUUUCGUCUACUACCKGUGACUUCUUGUUCUACAUGGGAUAUUGAUGUAUUAUAGCUGCUACUACAAGUCGGUCUAGUUGGAAUAUUUCAAUAAGUAACCUAAUGGUUAACGCAKGCGUUAAACACUUGGGGCCAAAACAAAAAAUGGCGACGGAUUAAUGUUAUGACAUGGAACAUUAAGACAAAUCAGUCACGACCGCUGCAACCGCAAUCAACAC